GGUGGCUCAGUGGUAGAGCACUUGCAUGCAUGAGGCCCUGAGUUCGAUUUCUCAGCACCA
This 60-nucleotide transfer RNA is filed under the name Dipodomys ordii (Ord's kangaroo rat). It matches the Rfam family "tRNA". From Rfam's summary of the family: Transfer RNA (tRNA) molecules are approximately 80 nucleotides in length. Their secondary structure includes four short double-helical elements and three loops (D, anti-codon, and T loops). Further hydrogen bonds mediate the characteristic L-shaped molecular structure. tRNAs have two regions of fundamental functional importance: the anti-codon, which is responsible for specific mRNA codon recognition, and the 3' end, to which the tRNAs corresponding amino acid is attached (by aminoacyl-tRNA synthetases). tRNAs cope with the degeneracy of the genetic code in two manners: having more than one tRNA (with a specific anti-codon) for a particular amino acid; and 'wobble' base-pairing, i.e. permitting non-standard base-pairing at the 3rd anti-codon position. The record is from Rfam by way of RNAcentral. Lineage: Eukaryota; Metazoa; Chordata; Mammalia; Rodentia; Heteromyidae.